CCUUCCGUAGGUGAACCUGCGGAAGGAUCAUUAAAUGUUAUAGCAACCCUCUGGCUGAAAAUGCCAGGGGGCACAACUAUACCACCCUUUGUUUAUUACACUUUUGUUGCUUUGGUAGGCCAGUCUUCGGACUGCUGGCUUCGGCCGGACAGCGCCUGCCAGAGGACCUAAACUCUGUUUGUCUAUAAUGUCUGAGUACUAUAUAAUAGUUAAAACUUUCAACAACGGAUCUCUUGGUUCUGGCAUCGAUGAAGAACGCAGCGAAAUGCGAUAAGUAAUGUGAAUUGCAGAAUUCAGUGAAUCAUCGAAUCUUUGAACGCACAUUGCACCCCCUGGUAUUCCGGGGGGUAUGCCUGUUCGAGCGUCAUUAACAACCCUCAAGCUCUGCUUGGUAUUGGGCCCCGCCGACCUGGCGAGCCCUAAAAUCAGUGGCGGUGCCAUCUGGUUCCGAGCGUAGUAAUUCUUCUCGCUUUGGAGGCCAGGUGUGUGCUUGCCAGCAACCCCCAUUUUUUUAAGUUUGACCUCGGAUCAGGUAGGGAUACCCGCUGAACUUAAGCAUAUCAAUAAGCGGAGG
This 574-nucleotide ribosomal RNA is filed under the name Onygenales sp. 7R11-2. Its description in RNAcentral is "eukaryotic LSU rRNA". The stretch from base 214 to 367 matches the Rfam family "5.8S ribosomal RNA". Lineage: Eukaryota; Fungi; Ascomycota; Eurotiomycetes; Onygenales. The record is from RNAcentral.